GACGAACGCUGGCGGCGUGCCUAAUACAUGCAAGUCGAACGCAGUGGGGACGGGUGAGUAACACGUGGGUAACCUCCCAUCAGAGGGGAUAACACUUGGAAACAGGUGCUAAACCGAUAUUGAUGGAUGGACCCGCGGUGCAUUAGCUAGUUGGUUAGGUAACGGCUCACCAAGGCCACGAUGCAUAGCGGAGCUGGGAGGGUGGUCGGCCACGCGGGAAGUGGGGAACGGCCAAGGGUCCUGCGGGAGGCAGCAGUAGGGAAUCUGCGGCAAUGGACGAAAGUCUGGCCGGGCCACGACGCGGAGGAGAGAAGGGUUUACGGAUCGGAAGACUGUGAUGUAAGGGAAGAGGUAUCUGACAAGAAAGCCACGGCUAACUACGUGCCAGCAGCCGCGGUAAUUC
Molecule: ribosomal RNA, 403 nt
Filed under: uncultured bacterium
Lineage: Bacteria
Description: partial 16S ribosomal RNA
Rfam family: Bacterial small subunit ribosomal RNA
Source: RNAcentral